GUAAAACCGAACAUGCCUGUCAAAUUUGAGCGCAAAUGGACAUUCAGAAGGGCUCCAAUUAAAUGUAUCAGACUAGAAUUGGACUAAGUGAUAAUAAUUGAUGAUUUGUGGACCUAAAGGCAAUUGUUACAUUGCUUACAAGGACUUCCACUAGGCUGCCAGGGGACUUCCAUUCUUAUCCUCUCCCUGUACGCAUGAGAGAGAGAGUGAAAGGAAGAGAAAAGGGAAUAGAGAGAAGAAGAAGAAGAAAGUAACAAAUUUUGGUGCCGUUUGUCGUUUGUCGAGCCGAUCGAAACGCCGCGCAUCGGAUUUUUAGCAUUUCGACAUUCGGGAGCCGAUUUUGCGAGCGUUUCGUCGACGGAUUUUUCCGUGACUUUCGGAUUGUUGUGGCUGCCAUGCGGAUUGGGUUUGGGCUGUUAGGUAAUUCCAGAGCAAGGUUCGGAAGCUUAGCUCGGAAUUGAUCACCUGUCAACCUAAUUGGGGGUAAAGCGAAUGCGUUGGAAAACUCGGAUCGACGUUUCGACGAGUCUACGGCACGCUAACGAGGAAAACCUCCUUUUAGCCUAAGUUAUUGCGAGCAAGGAUUGUGAUCAUUCGUAAAGUACGGGAAGUGGAAUUUUGGCAUUCCAAUAUCAAGUAAAGGUGGAUUGUGCUUUACCGAAGUGAUUAGGUCACUUCCAUGCCAAAUUCUCACCCCCGUGUUGUUUUGGGGGUACAGGUUAGCACGUGAGCGGCGCGACGGCGCGAGGACAGGGCGUAGCUUCAUAGAUAGCGCCCUACCACCGAGACCAGAGAUAGCAGUACCCAGAAGCAGUCUAGCUCAGAGUAUAAGUGUGAAAGAAACAAACUUGUAUCAAAUUUGUAUAAAUUGUAAUAAUUUAAAGGCUUAUAAAAUUUUGUAAAUGUAAAAUCUGUAAGA
Long non-coding RNA from Ananas comosus (pineapple), 919 nucleotides. RefSeq lists it as uncharacterized. Lineage: Eukaryota; Viridiplantae; Streptophyta; Magnoliopsida; Poales; Bromeliaceae. The transcript has 4 exons. The record is from RefSeq and is a predicted model, not a curated record.